UAAGUAGGAUGGAAGAUGUUGUUAAAGUAAUAAACACAAUUGAUAAUGACUCUCAUAGCAAAUGAAAAAAUAAUUUACUAAUGAAGUUAGCAGAGUCAUACUUUCUCUCUAAACAGCAUGCAUCAAUUUAUCAUUUUAUCAGGUGAAUGAAGCAGUGCAACCUGGUAAAAGCAGUACAGAGGCAGGUGGAGCAACAGGGUCGCAGAUGAGGAAAGCUGAAGGAGGUUUGGGAAGCAGGGAGUAGCGGAUCCAGCGCUCUGAUGCCAGGAAGAAACCACACUGUCAGGGGAUGAAAACAAUCACACAAACAAAGCAUCUAGAUCCUAAAAUAAAAUCAAUUGGACUAUAUGAAAGACUUGAGUGCUUUAUUUUGUAUUGACACCUUUCUGCAAUGUGAUUCUGUUUGGUAUCUGACCAUGUGGUGCUCAACUCUGUUGAAAUUAUCUAUGAUAGAUUAGCCCGUAUUUUCAAUGACUUUUACUCUAGUCUUUUUAAUUCCUUCCUCUUUCUUGAAAGGGGUAGAACACAAUUUUACAGAGCCUUGUGAAAACUGGAGGGUAGAUUUAAAGAUGAUAUGCAAUGAAAAAAUGUCCGACCAGAGGGUCGUUGAAUUGAAACCCUUUCAAAAUAAAAAUCCCCCUGUCAAUUCUGUAAAUCAGUUUUUUCAUUUUGCACUUUGAAUUUCAU
Long non-coding RNA from Acipenser ruthenus (sterlet), 687 nucleotides. RefSeq lists it as uncharacterized. The record is from RefSeq and is a predicted model, not a curated record. The transcript has 2 exons. Lineage: Eukaryota; Metazoa; Chordata; Actinopteri; Acipenseriformes; Acipenseridae.